Long non-coding RNA from Astatotilapia calliptera (eastern happy), 1439 nucleotides. Lineage: Eukaryota; Metazoa; Chordata; Actinopteri; Cichliformes; Cichlidae. The record is from Ensembl.
UAGAUGGAGUUGGCCGUCCGACUGCGGUCUGGAGUGUGGGGCCUCCCUGCUGCUACGGAGUCGGGGUGGUCGGGCGCGUCACUGCAACUCCCCCUGGCUUCUGCUCCGCGGCUGCUGAGUGAACCCUCAUCUGGGACUCUCCUCAGCUCUUACUGGAACAGUGGCGCGGCUGCCCCUCUGUUGGUCUUCCAUGGUUUCUUGUGUUCUGGGGGCCUCUGGAUGUCUGGAGUUUUGAUCUCCUCCAUACCUGCCUCACACCCUGGAGGACGGGGCUGUGGCCCCCCCACACUCCCUAGCAGAUCGUUACAUGGAGAAACCUUUGGAAUACAAGCGCGCUGAUCCACACAGGUAUGCACACGGGUGUUCACUGCUCGUAGACCCAAAUUACACCUUUCUUGGCUGCUACUUCGAAGCACAUCUGUCCUGCGUGCUGCACAACAACAUUGAAUAUUUAGUAUUUACUGCUGUUUACACUUAGCUAGAUUAAUGCGAUGGUGUUGUGUUUAGUAUGUUGCUUUGUUUCUUUUUUUUUUGUCUUUUUUUGCUUGUUUUCUAUUCUUCUCUCAACAGGUGAUCCAGGAGAUUUUUUUUUCUCCCCCCCUUUCUCACUGUCCCUCUCCCCUUCUGUUUUUCAUUUCCUUCCUCUUUCUUUCUCCCUUUCCUAUCUCUCACUCAUGUCUGUCCCGUCUGUAACAUCUGAAAAUAAAAUAUAAUAAAUAAUAAAAACAAAGAUCGACCAAAUGGACCAAUACGGCAAUGCCACGAUGAUCCAUUUGGCAAAGUAAAUCCAUUGGGUAUCCUUGUUGGUCUUCAGACAACAAUUCUGAUGGCUAAAGAACCAAAUGGGACAGGCGGGAAAAAAAAACAAAAAAAAAAACAAAAAACAAAAAAAACAGCAGUUUAUUUAGUUCCUAAAAAUGUUCACAGCCAGGUACAAAAAAGGCUUUGGGUAGUUUUUCCAUUAUAAAAACUGUACAAUGGGUGAUUUUAAAAGAUAAUUCAUCUGUUUGGACAUAGAUAAGGUUUAAAGUUGGCGUUUUAUUAUAGUAUUCUGUUACUCAGCACCGGUUAGCAGAUGUGUGGCCUGCAGCUUGCAACCCAAACUUGCUAGUGUUAGCGGAUGACUUUCCAGCAAAGGCCGACUUAAGCAUCUAUUCUAUGUGGAAACAUCCUCAGCAUUCAUCUGCCUGUGGCUCGGAUUUUGUAGUCGUACCACCAGUUUUCAACUCAGAAAUCAGGGUAGAUUCUCAACUUUUUGCUGGGUUAGCUCUCUAUCUUAUUAAAAUAUGCUUACAUCGCACCAUGACUGGUCCAAACUAGCACUGAGGUGGCUGUGUUCCUAUUUUUCUUUCUUAUUGGUUCAUCCUCAAGAGACUAACUCAGGAAAUACUGUUUCAAUCUGAAGUGUCUGCCAGUAAUGAUGAUUCACUCCCAUUUCC